RNAcentral lists this ribosomal RNA (899 nucleotides) under Ralstonia sp. Its description in RNAcentral is "bacterial SSU rRNA". It matches the Rfam family "Bacterial small subunit ribosomal RNA", at positions 86 to 984 of the family's 1533-position model. Lineage: Bacteria; Pseudomonadati; Pseudomonadota; Betaproteobacteria; Burkholderiales; Burkholderiaceae. The record is from RNAcentral.
UGAUGGCGAGUGGCGAACGGGUGAGUAAUACAUCGGAACGUGCCCUGUAGUGGGGGAUAACUAGUCGAAAGAUUAGCUAAUACCGCAUACGACCUGAGGGUGAAAGUGGGGGACCGCAAGGCCUCAUGCUAUAGGAGCGGCCGAUGUCUGAUUAGCUAGUUGGUGAGGUAAAGGCUCACCAAGGCGACGAUCAGUAGCUGGUCUGAGAGGACGAUCAGCCACACUGGGACUGAGACACGGCCCAGACUCCUACGGGAGGCAGCAGUGGGGAAUUUUGGACAAUGGGCGAAAGCCUGAUCCAGCAAUGCCGCGUGUGUGAAGAAGGCCUUCGGGUUGUAAAGCACUUUUGUCCGGAAAGAAAUCGCACUUACUAAUACUAGGUGUGGAUGACGGUACCGGAAGAAUAAGGACCGGCUAACUACGUGCCAGCAGCCGCGGUAAUACGUAGGGUCCAAGCGUUAAUCGGAAUUACUGGGCGUAAAGCGUGCGCAGGCGGUUGUGCAAGACCGAUGUGAAAUCCCCGAGCUUAACUUGGGAAUUGCAUUGGUGACUGCACGGCUAGAGUGUGUCAGAGGGGGGUAGAAUUCCACGUGUAGCAGUGAAAUGCGUAGAGAUGUGGAGGAAUACCGAUGGCGAAGGCAGCCCCCUGGGAUAACACUGACGCUCAUGCACGAAAGCGUGGGGAGCAAACAGGAUUAGAUACCCUGGUAGUCCACGCCCUAAACGAUGUCAACUAGUUGUUGGGGAUUCAUUUCCUUAGUAACGUAGCUAACGCGUGAAGUUGACCGCCUGGGGAGUACGGUCGCAAGAUUAAAACUCAAAGGAAUUGACGGGGACCCGCACAAGCGGUGGAUGAUGUGGAUUAUUCGAUGCAACGCGAAAACCUUACCUACCCUUGA